Molecule: RNA transcript, 1269 nt
Organism: Sapajus apella (tufted capuchin)
Lineage: Eukaryota; Metazoa; Chordata; Mammalia; Primates; Cebidae
Gene name: H/ACA ribonucleoprotein complex subunit 1 pseudogene
Exons: 1
Source: RefSeq, a predicted model, not a curated record
UCCGCUGCUCUACUGUAGGCACGUUGACUUCAUGGUUGUAAAUUAGUGGUUAAGGUUCGAUAUUAUUGCUACUUUUCCAGCGCUGAAAACUGUUUUGGAACCAAGUGUCGCUGAUUCAGCGGGUGACUGGCUUUUUUUUUUUUUUUUUUUUUUUUUGGCAAGCCAGUUAUUCGAGUUUCUGUUUUUUAAAAAAAAACUCUGGCGGUACGGUAGCCGAGGAGGUUCUAGUGCGGCGGAAGUACCCAGCGGGUGGGUGUGUGCGCGCGCAAGAUCAGGGCCAGAGGUGCACGUGGCGCCGGGAGUAGAGAGAAUGUCUUUUCGAGGCGGAGGUCGUGGAGGCUUUAAUCGGGGUGGUGGAGGUGGCGGCUUCAACCAUGGCAGCAGCAGCAACCACUUCCGAGGUGGAGGCGGUGGUGGAGGCGGCGGCAAUUUCAGAGGCGGCGGCAGGGGAGGAUUUGGACGAGGGGGUGGCCGCGGAGGCUUUAACAAAGGCCAAGACCAAGGACCUCCAGAACGUGUAGUCUUAUUAGGAGAGUUCCUGCAUCCCUGUGAAGAUGACAUAGUUUGUAAAUGUACCACAGAUGAAAAUAAAGUGCCUUAUUUCAAUGCUCCUGUUUACUUAGAAAACAAAGAACAAAUUGGAAAAGUGGAUGAAAUAUUUGGACAACUUAGAGAUUUUUAUUUUUCAGUUAAAUUGUCAGAAAAUAUAAAGGCUUCAUCCUUUAAAAAACUACAGAAGUUUUAUAUAGACCCACAUAAGCUGCUGCCACUGCAGAGGUUUUUACCUCGACCUCCUGAUGAGAAAGGACCUCCAAGAGGUGGUGGCAGGGGAGGCCGAGGAGGAGGACGAGGAGGAGGUGGCAGAGGUGGUGGUUUUAGAGGUGGAAGAGGAGGUGGAGGUGGGGGCUUCCGAGGAGGAAGAGGGGGUGGUGGUUUCAGAGGGAGAGGACAUUAAGUGAAAUAGUUGACAGACAUCACCAGUUGACUUCUGCGUAAACCUGCGUGAUCUGUUUCUACUGUGGAUUGGAAACUUGUUUCUUGAGCAAGUCUUGAAGACCUUGGUUGUUUUAUGACAAUGGAUCUAAAAUGUCAGCAUUAUGCCAAGUGCAACAGAAUAGUGAAUUUUGCUCUAAAAGAGCAUGAAUAAAUCUUUUUAAUGUUUUGUAUAGUGCCUGGCACUCUGUGGGUGCUUAAUAAAUGGACAGGAGUUUUCAUUUGAAGCAUAUUUGAAUUUUUAAAAUAAAGUGUUUAUUCCCUUAAAAAAAAAAA